RNAcentral lists this long non-coding RNA (334 nucleotides) under Vigna radiata. RNAcentral's name for it is "long non-coding RNA (VRAD_LNC004477)". The record is from RNAcentral. Lineage: Eukaryota; Viridiplantae; Streptophyta; Magnoliopsida; Fabales; Fabaceae.
GUUGUUGAAAUUUGUUGUCCAUAUAUCAUUUUCCAUCUUUCAUUUCUAACAAUUAAACAAAUUUUUUAAAUCUAUCACAUCAAUCAAAUCCUACACUAAUUCUCACAAACUUUACCCUCAAAUCCACUCUCAAUUACCCACAAAUCUACUCAAAAAAACAACAACAAAAUUACCCUCAAAUCCACUCAAAUCAUCCCCCCAAAUCAUCUCCCCCAAAUUCCUUCAUAAGAACACAGCGUAACUAAGAUGAUGUAAGACGUUAAUAAACAUUAAAAAACAAAAGGACCAAGUCUUUCCUUUUAUACUUACUAUAAAUGAAUCAAAGACAAAUUAU